ACGGGAGGCAGCAGUGGGGAAUAUUGCACAAUGGGCGCAAGCCUGAUGCAGCAACGCCGCGUGAGGGAUGACGGUUUUCGGAUUGUAAACCUCUGUCUUUGGUGACGAAGAAGUGACGGUAGCCAAGGAGGAAGCCACGGCUAACUACGUGCCAGCAGCCGCGGUAAUACGUAGGUGGCAAGCGUUAUCCGGAAUUACUGGGUGUAAAGGGAGCGCAGGCGGGACAGCAAGUCAGCGGUGAAAUGUAUGGGCUCAACCCAUGAACUGCCGUUGAAACUGUUGUUCUUGAGUGGAGUAGAGGUAGGCGGAAUUCCGAGUGUAGCGGUGAAAUGCGUAGAUAUUAGGAGGAACACCAGUGGCGAAGGCGGCUUGCUGGACGACAACUGUCGCUGAGGCGCGAAAGCGUGGGGAGCAAACAGGAUUAGAUACCCUGGUA
Molecule: ribosomal RNA, 436 nt
Rfam family: Bacterial small subunit ribosomal RNA